AGUGAACGCUGGCGGUAGGCCUAACACAUGCAAGUCGAACGGCAGCACAGUAAGAGCUUGCUCUUACGGGUGGCGAGUGGCGGACGGGUGAGGAAUACAUCGGAAUCUACUUUUUCGUGGGGGAUAACGUAGGGAAACUUACGCUAAUACCGCAUACGACCUACGGGUGAAAGCAGGGGAUCUUCGGACCUUGCGCGAUUGAAUGAGCCGAUGUCGGAUUAGCUAGUUGGCGGGGUAAAGGCCCACCAAGGCGACGAUCCGUAGCUGGUCUGAGAGGAUGGUAGGCCACACUGGAAGUGAAACAGGGCCCAGACGCCGGCGGGAGGAGCGAGGGGGGAAUGUGGGAAAGGGGGGGAAGGCCGGAACCACCCAUCCGGGGGGGGGUAAAGAGGCGUUGGGGUUGUAAAGCCUUUUUGUGGGAAAAAAAAAGCAGCAGGUUAAUCCCCCGCUGUUCUGACGGUACCAAAAAAAAAAGCACCGGCUAACUCCGUG
This 492-nucleotide ribosomal RNA is filed under the name uncultured bacterium. RNAcentral describes it as "partial 16S ribosomal RNA". It matches the Rfam family "Bacterial small subunit ribosomal RNA", at positions 30 to 507 of the family's 1533-position model. The record is from RNAcentral.